RNAcentral lists this ribosomal RNA (708 nucleotides) under uncultured bacterium. RNAcentral's name for it is "bacterial SSU rRNA". It matches the Rfam family "Bacterial small subunit ribosomal RNA", at positions 192 to 916 of the family's 1533-position model. The record is from RNAcentral.
CUCUCGAUGUGAAAGUUUUUUCGGCUAGGGAUGAGACCGCGCUAUCAGCUUGUUGGUGGAGUAAUGGCCCACCAAGGCGACGACGGGUAGCCGGCUGAGAGGGCGACCGGCCACACUGGGACUGAGACACGGCCCAGACUCCUACGGGAGGCAGCAGUGGGGAAUAUUGCGCAAUGGGCGAAAGCCUGACGCAGCGACGCCGCGUGAGGGAUGACGGCCUUCGGGUUGUAAACCUCUUUCAGCAGGGAAGAAGCGAAAGUGACGGUACCUGCAGAAGAAGCACCGGCUAACUACGUGCCAGCAGCCGCGGUAAUNNNNNNNNUGCAAGCGUUGUCCGGAUUUAUUGGGCGUAAAGAGCUCGUAGGCGGUUUGUCGCGUCUGGUGUGAAAACUCAGGGCUUAACCCUGAGCUUGCAUCGGGUACGGGCAGACUAGAGUGCGGUAGGGGAGACUGGAAUUCCUGGUGUAGCGGUGAAAUGCGCAGAUAUCAGGAGGAACACCGGUGGCGAAGGCGGGUCUCUGGGCCGUAACUCACGCCCAGGAGCGAAAGCAUGGGGAGCGAACAGGAUUAGAUACCCUGGUAGUCCAUGCCGUAAACGUUGGGCGCUAGGUGUGGGGCUCAUUCCACGAGUUCCGUGCCGCAGCUAACGCAUUAAGCGCCCCGCCUGGGGAGUACGGCCGCAAGGCUAAAACUCAAACGAAUUGACGG